Eurytemora carolleeae is the source of this 637-nucleotide long non-coding RNA. RefSeq lists it as uncharacterized. The record is from RefSeq and is a predicted model, not a curated record. Lineage: Eukaryota; Metazoa; Arthropoda; Copepoda; Calanoida; Temoridae. The transcript is spliced from 7 exons.
CUGAAUAAUAACACUGAAUAGUGAAUAUGUUUAGGAAACUGAACAUUUACUGCCCUGUUAUAAGGAAUAUAUUCCCUGUCCUAACACUCAAUAUGGUUGCUCAGCAUCUUUACAACGUCAGAAUGUUCCCUCGCACCUGCCUACCUGCCCGGCAAAUAUUAUUGCUUCCACUCAAGAAUGGAACAGGUCUCCAAUAUCCUGUAAAGAGAGAUGUUGUACUCUUCCUUUCCAGUUAAAGAACCCUCAAGCUGCCAGAGGAGAUGUUGACCUUGAACUAGCUUUAAGAGAUGAAAGACUAGGUGGAGAGUUGUUUGAAGUUCCCAGGUAUCCAUACACCAUGGAGCAGAUAAGUUAAAAACUAGAUUCAAAUUGAAGAGAUGAAAGACUAGGAGAGAGUGUUUAAAGUUCCCAGGUAUCCAUACACCAUGGAGCAGAUAAGUUAAAAACUAGAUUCAAAUAGAAGAGAUGAAAGACUAGGUGGAGAGUUGUUUAAAGUUCCCAGGAUCUAAGAAGAGAUCAAUGGGAGAAUCAUUGUAAGAAUGUGCAUAAUGAUAUUCACGGUGGACUGAACAACUGGUUGGUUGCUAGAUGUCCUCUUUCUGCAUAUGGCUGUGGGUUUUCAUACUCUAGACUGUAU